RNAcentral lists this ribosomal RNA (825 nucleotides) under Vibrio alginolyticus. Its description in RNAcentral is "bacterial SSU rRNA". It matches the Rfam family "Bacterial small subunit ribosomal RNA", at positions 231 to 1049 of the family's 1533-position model. Lineage: Bacteria; Pseudomonadati; Pseudomonadota; Gammaproteobacteria; Vibrionales; Vibrionaceae. The record is from RNAcentral.
CUAGGUGGGAUUAGCUAGUUGGUGAGGUAAGGGCUCACCAAGGCGACGAUCCCUAGCUGGUCUGAGAGGAUGAUCAGCCACACUGGAACUGAGACACGGUCCAGACUCCUACGGGAGGCAGCAGUGGGGAAUAUUGCACAAUGGGCGCAAGCCUGAUGCAGCCAUGCCGCGUGUGUGAAGAAGGCCUUCGGGUUGUAAAGCACUUUCAGUCGUGAGGAAGGUAGUGUAGUUAAUAGCUGCAUUAUUUGACGUUAGCGACAGAAGAAGCACCGGCUAACUCCGUGCCAGCAGCCGCGGUAAUACGGAGGGUGCGAGCGUUAAUCGGAAUUACUGGGCGUAAAGCGCAUGCAGGUGGUUUGUUAAGUCAGAUGUGAAAGCCCGGGGCUCAACCUCGGAAUAGCAUUUGAAACUGGCAGACUAGAGUACUGUAGAGGGGGGUAGAAUUUCAGGUGUAGCGGUGAAAUGCGUAGAGAUCUGAAGGAAUACCGGUGGCGAAGGCGGCCCCCUGGACAGAUACUGACACUCAGAUGCGAAAGCGUGGGGAGCAAACAGGAUUAGAUACCCUGGUAGUCCACGCCGUAAACGAUGUCUACUUGGAGGUUGUGGCCUUGAGCCGUGGCUUUCGGAGCUAACGCGUUAAGUAGACCGCCUGGGGAGUACGGUCGCAAGAUUAAAACUCAAAUGAAUUGACGGGGGCCCGCACAAGCGGUGGAGCAUGUGGUUUAAUUCGAGGCAACGCGAAGAACCUUACCUACUCUUGACAUCCAGAGAACUUUCCAGAGAUGGAUUGGUGCUUCGGGAACUCUGAGACAGGUGCUGCAUGGC